ACUGAUUCUCAUAUACAUGGGAUAUUUGAGUGGUGUGUAUGUACUCGAAAAAAGCUUUAAAAUCUGCGGGCAAACAGGUUUUGCCAGACAAAUGGAUGUAGAUUCAGCUAUCGGCCUUGAUUCAUGUGUAGAUUAAGCAUUGGAAGCUCUGUUUUGUAUAUGGUGUCAACAGGAGGAUGUGAAAACAACUUAAAGUCAGCGCACCAGGAACGGAAUCACUGGGGGUCAUCCUGACCAUGGGGACAAAAACAAUGAGUUUUGGGAAAUGCACAAAGUCAUUUUGUUUUCAUUCGCUGAGGAAGCAGAAAGAACAGUGCAUUUUGCAUUCAUGAGAUAAGCUGUUUUAAACAAAACUUCAGUAGGCUAAAAACCUAACCUUAGGUCUUGUAUUAUUGUGCAGGUGCAAAUGCUAGUAAGUUGAGAUGAUUAAUAAAGAAUAAACAGGUCUUUGGAUUUUUUUUCUACAAUAGAAUUUAAAAAUCAAGAGCGUGGUACAAGUGGUACUAUCAGGGUGAUAAUGCUUUAAACUAUAUGUUAGAGAUUAAUUAGUUGUGUCACAGAAAAUUUUAAAUUCCCUGUCGCUCAGGAACAUUGAGAAAAUACUUUCCAUACUACAGUCAUAUUGGAUUUUUAGGGGCUGAUCCUGCUUCCAUUUGCAAACGUUAAUAAAACAUCCAUUGACCUGCAAUAAUUGCAGGAAUUGGCUCUACCCUCGUAGCAGGAAUUGUAAGUUUUGUAUAGGCUGGUGGCCAUGGAUUUAUGUACUCUGAAAUUCUGUGGCUGUGGAAUUUAUUGUAGAAUUGUGUUCUAGAAUGAGUAUUUAUUUA
Molecule: long non-coding RNA, 827 nt
Organism: Chrysemys picta bellii (western painted turtle)
Lineage: Eukaryota; Metazoa; Chordata; Testudines; Emydidae
Source: RefSeq, a predicted model, not a curated record